AAGUCGUAACAAGGUUUCCGUAGGUGAACCUGCGGAAGGAUCAUUAACACUUUUUCCAAAAAACUCCUGUUUCUUUUGGCUCGAACCAAAGAUUUAGGUUUUAACCCCAAUUUAUUGCGAACGAUGAUUUUCCAAAAUCAUUUUUCUCUUCUUUAUCCUCUUUUUAUUUUUACCCCAAUUUUUACAAAAUCAAAGCCUGAUAUAAAAUCGUUUCUCUUUUGAAAAAAAAAAGAGGUAACGACCGAAACCUAAUGGUUAAAACAACUCUUAGCAACGGAUAUCUUGGCUCUC
Molecule: unclassified non-coding RNA, 291 nt
Filed under: fungal sp.
Lineage: Eukaryota; Fungi
Description: partial internal transcribed spacer region
Rfam family: Eukaryotic small subunit ribosomal RNA (bases 1-46)
Source: RNAcentral